GACGAACGCUGGCGGCGUGCUUAACACAUGCAAGUCGAACGAUGAAGCCGGAGCUUGCUCUGGUGAAUUAGUGGCGAACGGGUGAGUUACACGUGAGUAACCUGCCCUUGACUCUGGGAUAACUGCGGGAAACUGUAGCUAAUACCGGAUACGACCUUCGGAGGCAUCUCCUGGGGGUGGAAAGAAUUUCGGUCAAGGAUGGACUCGCGGCCUAUCAGCUGGUUGGUGAGGUAAAGGCUCACCAAGGCGACGACGGGUAGCCGGCCUGAGAGGGUGACCGGCCACACUGGGACGGAGACACGGCCCAGACUCCUACGGGAGGCAGCAGUGGGGAAUAUUGCACAAUGGGCGCAAGCCUGAUGCAGCAACGCCGCGUGAGGGAUGACGGCCUUCGGGUUGUAAACCUCUUUUAGCAGGGAAGAAGCGAAAGUGACGGUACCUGCAGAAAAAGCACCGGCUAACUACGUGCCAGCCGCCGCCGUAA
Molecule: ribosomal RNA, 484 nt
Filed under: uncultured bacterium
Lineage: Bacteria
Description: partial 16S ribosomal RNA
Rfam family: Bacterial small subunit ribosomal RNA
Source: RNAcentral